This 291-nucleotide long non-coding RNA is filed under the name Mustela putorius furo (domestic ferret). RNAcentral's name for it is "lncRNA (ENSMPUG00000029286.1)". The record is from RNAcentral. Lineage: Eukaryota; Metazoa; Chordata; Mammalia; Carnivora; Mustelidae.
CCGCUACAUCCAUAGUGCCUAUGCCACUCACCUUGCUUUUUCUCAUCAUGCAGGCAUUUUAUCAUCUCACGGCUUUACAAGAUAGGUAUUACUUUCGGACAAGUAAAGAGAUUAAUGCUACAAAAAAAAAAAUGAAGAAGCCCGCAAGCAUGGGCUUAGGCCCAGUGGGACUUGAAAUGUGUUCAGAAGAGGGGGCUGCCCACGUGUGGUCACCGAACACACCCCAUCUCUUUGCUCUCUGGGUUUGAAUGGAACUACGCCAGCUUCGAUAUCCAGUAGCAUGUCAGGUCC